CCCUUAGAUGUUCUGGGCGGCCCGCGCACUACAAUGGCGUGUGCAGCGAGUGCCGAAGUAGAGUUUUCCGAGGUAUUCUUGCAAUGCUCGUUUUGAUGGGGAUAGACCCUUGCAACUGUUGGUUUUGAACGAGGAAUUCCUUGUAAGCAUGGUUUAUCAUCCGACGCUGAAUGCGUCCCUGCCCUUUGUACACACCGCCCGUCGCUCCUACCGAUGAGUCGUCCGGUGAAGUUCGUAAACCUCGUGAUCGCGGAUCACUGGGGGAAGCAAAAUGAACCUCGCGGUUUAGAGGAAGGAGAAGUCGUAACA
Molecule: ribosomal RNA, 309 nt
Filed under: uncultured eukaryote
Lineage: Eukaryota
Description: partial 18S ribosomal RNA
Rfam family: Eukaryotic small subunit ribosomal RNA
Source: RNAcentral